Molecule: ribosomal RNA, 440 nt
Filed under: uncultured bacterium
Lineage: Bacteria
Description: partial 16S ribosomal RNA
Rfam family: Bacterial small subunit ribosomal RNA
Source: RNAcentral
CCUACGGGUGGCAGCAGGGGGGAAUAUUGCACAAUGGGGGAAACCCUGAUGCAGCGACGCCGCGGGAGGGAAGAAGGAAGUCGGUAGGUAAAGCUCGAUCAGCAGGGAAGAAAAUGACGGUACGUGAGUAAGAAGCCCCGGCUAACUACGUGCCAGCAGCCGCGGUAAUACGUAGGGGGCAAGCGUUAUCCGGAUUUACUGGGUGUAAAGGGAGCGUAGACGGCAGGGCAAGUCUGGAGUGAAAGGCGGGGGCUCAACCCCCGGACUGCUCUGGAAACUGUACGGCUGGAGUGCAGGAGAGGUAAGUGGACUUCCUAGUGUAGCGGUGACAUGCGUAGAUAUUAGGUGGAACCCCAGUGGCGAAGGCGGCUUCCUGGACUGUAACUGACGUUGAGGCUCGAACGCGUGGGGAGCAAACCGGCUUAGCUACCCGUGUAGUC